UACGGAGGAUGCAAGCGUUAUCCGGAAUGAUUGGGCGUAAAGCGUCCGCAGGUGGCUAUGUAAGUCUGCUGUUAAAGAGUGAGGCUCAACCUCAUAAGAGCAGUGGAAACUACAUGGCUAGAGUGCGUUCGGGGCAGAGGGAAUUCCUGGUGUAGCGGUGAAAUGCGUAGAUAUCAGGAAGAACACCGGUGGCUAAAGCGCUCUGCUAGGCCGCAACUGACACUGAGGGACGAAAGCGAGGGGAGCGAAUGGG
This 253-nucleotide ribosomal RNA is filed under the name uncultured bacterium. Its description in RNAcentral is "partial 16S ribosomal RNA". It matches the Rfam family "Bacterial small subunit ribosomal RNA", at positions 524 to 776 of the family's 1533-position model. The record is from RNAcentral.